GUAAACUUUGCAAGCACAUAUUGUCUGUGUUGUCCACAACAAGCUAGCUAGUGUUGUAGGCUGAGGAAGUCAAAGCAUAUUGAUAAGGCCCAAAGUUUCAAUUAAGAAACCAUGUGAUUCAUCUGCAGAAGGAGCAGCAGUCGUAGUUGUAAUGGGCCAAAGGUUGAGUUGUCUAAAGGUACGUACCUUUUACCGUCCUAUACCAUCCGAGUAUUUACCACGACUUGCCCUGCUCUUUCAAGGACCAACAAACAGAUGCAAUAAUCUGCACUGCAAUGAGGGUACUCAGCCAUGCACUCUCUGAUUAUUGGAAAGGAACUGAUCAGUUCUUGCCUCCAUUAUUAAUGUUACACCCCUGUCCACAUGGACGGUCCAUGGAAAAUUAAAGGAGGGUGCAAAAUGGUUCGAGCUGGACAUGGAGUGCGGUUUGUGAUCAUCUUUUUAAUAAAAAAGGGAUCAGUCUCUCUCAAGAAUUUGAUCGUUGGAGGCGUGGGCGGUGCGGUCGACGACUCAGGGUGUAAAGGUUGAGUGGUGGGAUGGGCUUAACAGGUCAUGUCGUUGUUGGGAGCCCUCCCUGUUUGCUCCUAACCCAAAUUUUUAUUUGCCUAUUCAUGAUUGACAAAAUCUUGUACUGUUGUUUCCAAUUAGACUCCCACUCAAUCAUUAAGAGCCCCCCUCUCAAAGACUCGGCCUUUUCAAAUUUAAUACGUAACGUCGUGGUUCCGAGACGUGGCGCUAGCUUUGGCCAUCGACGGGUUAGCCACUUCCCAUGCCGACCUGCUCGAGUCAUGUGCAUUGCUGGGGUCUUUGCUCCUUUUUCCUGUAGCAGUUAAAGCUUUUUAUUUUCGAUGCUCAAAUUGUCUGACCUUUAGGGGUAAGUGAGGGAUAUUGCAGGGAAGCAUAUUGCAGUAUUUGAUUGAUGUUUUAGAGAUGGGUAAAUAAUCUCUAGCUAUGUGAUUGCAAUGAGUUGGAGGGAAAGUUAAUUUCUCUCAACAAACGGAAA
Molecule: long non-coding RNA, 1003 nt
Filed under: Theobroma cacao (cacao)
Lineage: Eukaryota; Viridiplantae; Streptophyta; Magnoliopsida; Malvales; Malvaceae
Description: long non-coding RNA (TCAC_LNC004109)
Source: RNAcentral